Molecule: long non-coding RNA, 1241 nt
Organism: Parasteatoda tepidariorum (common house spider)
Lineage: Eukaryota; Metazoa; Arthropoda; Arachnida; Araneae; Theridiidae
Source: RefSeq, a predicted model, not a curated record
AUAAAGUAAACAAAUACAAAUGACUGCUGUGGAAACCGUAACAAAUUUUAUACUUGCCUUUGGCUUUUAAGCCGUAGUUAUAUAAUUGAGCUCAUAAGCAUGCAAAUAAGUGAAACAAACAACAAAAUGAAUAAUAAUUGUGGUAAAGGCAGCUUUAAUGGCAAAAGCGAACCACUUUAUUAUGGACUUCACAAAAGCGGAAACAGGAAGAUUUGUUUCAGUGCGGAAAAGUUUUGAUACAAUUGACCCUACCUUGAUGAUGAAAGUGCUUAAAACAUUGAUAACUCACCAAAGACUUUAAAAAGCCCUCAGCAAGAGAGUGUUUCUUCCUCUUUAGAUGGGAAUAAAAGGGAUUCCUCUCUGUUUCAUACAGUGGGAAAAAUUCUUUACCCAAAGCGUGAUACUUCAAAUAAGUCAAAUCACAACGUACUUCCUACUUGUCUAAAAAUGUUUGAGAAGGAUCCUUUCAUUUAUAAUCCUGAAAUAAACAAUUCAGAAAUAAAUACUCAAUUCAAAUCUAAACUGCUUUCAAGUCUAAGCCACACUCCAAGUUCUUAACACGUUUUGUUUCACGCAAAAAAUAGUGUAAAAGGUUUUAUUGAUAUCAGACAUAGACUUCAGGAAUUGAAACCAGGAUAGCCUGGUUGGUAUGGCACUGCACUCAAUUUCGUGAGAAUGGGAGUCCGAAUCCAGCCUGCCGAAGACUUUCUGUAUUGUAAAUGGUGACUGGUGCUGGUUAAAUCUGCCAGGUCACAAAGUCUUCCAUGUCCGAAUAACAAAUUAUACUUCUGGGGUUUUGGAAAGGAGAUUGAUCAUUCUAUGAUUCUGGUCAAAAUUUAAUUACGACAUGACACAGAAGACUGCACAAGAAUGCAUUACACAUUUUUAAUUCUUAGUAAUGAAGAGUAACUUAAAUUCCACCAUCCUUUUUACCAUAGAAUACGCUGUGGGAUUUAUUUUUAGACUAUGUCAACCGUCAUCUAUCAAAAGGUACCUCAUGAUAAGAGUCAAGUUAACAUGUCUUACACAAUAGUGAAUUGGUAUUUAAUAUUUAUAGUGGUAGUUAUGCCACAACGUCUCAUUUAAGAAAUGAUGGUUCUUUUGUACUUUCAUGUGGAAUUCAAUAUGCUCUAUGUUCAUUUGCACUAAUGUCAAAAGAAUAGGUGGACUUCCAUGAAACUUUUGCUAUCCAUUGAAUUUUUGCCUAUGUAAAAAAAAUUGUUUGAAAGAGCAAAAAUAUU